This 363-nucleotide ribosomal RNA is filed under the name Bicellonycha wickershamorum. RNAcentral's name for it is "partial 16S ribosomal RNA". Lineage: Eukaryota; Metazoa; Arthropoda; Insecta; Coleoptera; Lampyridae. The record is from RNAcentral.
UUAAGGUCUAAUUGCUCAAUGAAAAUUUAAAUAGCCGCAGUAUUUUAACUGUGCAAAGGUAGCAUAAUAAUUAGUUUUUUUAUUGAAAGCUGGAAUGAAUGAUUGGACGAGAGGAUGACUGUCUCUUUAUAAUAUUUUUUGAAUUUAACUUUUAAGUGAAAAGGCUUAAAUUUAUUUGAAAGACGAGAAGACCCUAUAGAGUUUUAUUUAUUAUUAUAGUUUUAAGAAUUUAUUUUAUAAUAAUUAAAUUUAGUUGGGGUGAUUGAAAGAUUUAAUAAACUCUUUUAAUUUUAAUCAUUGAUUUAUGAAUUUUGAAUCUAAAAUAUUAAAUUUAAAUUAAAUUACCUUGGGGAUAACAGCGUA